GUCAGUAACCAUAUAGAUCCAUGACUGCAACCACAACUCGAUGGCAGAGUUAAGAUGUAUUGUGGUCGCUCGGCCACCAGCAGGUGUGUGGAAUACCUGCGACACUAGUCGCACUGCAGCAGGCACUUGCAGAUAAUGAAAGGAAACAUUUAAAUAGUACAUGCGAAGGAUUGAGAUGGCGGCGGGAAUGCCUUACUGGACAAAAAAAGCCCGUUGAUCCUGCAGCUCUAAGUAGGAUAAGAAGUGCACAAUAUGGAUGGAUAGCUGAAAUAUGUUUAUUGGUCUUUGAAGAAGAAGAAGACAGAAUUUGGAUGUCUUCAGAUUUUCAACAACAAGAGCGUUUUCAUCUGGAGAAAAUUCUUUUCUGUUGAUGAAAAGGAUGAUAAUGGAUACAGAGUGAGUGUGGGUGUGUGCAUCAUUGCACCCUGUGAUUAUUUUGCAUCCUAUUCUGGAAUAAUGUCUGCCUUGUACUACACACUGCCCGGGUAAAGAAAAUGAAUGAGUUAAUAAGGGUACAUCCAGCCUUUUAUCCAAAUCAAACUAUUACAAGGUUGUGCAGUGGUGUUCCAGAGUUGUUUGCUAUGUCACCUGCAAAGUAUCACUCAGAGCAGUGCUCCCACUCUCUCUAGCACCAUUCGAGCAAGCAUGUAUCUCAAUAAUCAAAGCUGCCAUUUCUACUGCUGCAAAAAAACACCUGAAUCUAUGUGAAUCUACAUAUUGAUAACAGUCUGAAUAUCAAGAAGAAAAUGGAAGUAACACAAUAAUGAAUGACAGAAGUCGAAGCAGUUUCUUUCUUGAUUAUUUUGCAAUAUAAAUGUAUGUUUGGUGUUCUUGUUCUUAUAGUGUUCUUACUAUUAUUGGGGUAGUAGUAAAGCUUGGUGUGGAGAGUUUUUAAUAAAAUCAGUGUCUGUACUUGAUUUGUGAAGUUUGUGUUCUCCCUGUGUUCCUAUUGUUCUUAUUUCACAAUCUGAUGAAAUGCUGACAGUCUCUUUGAUGUCCUAAGACUUUAUCUACCCAUUCAAUUUUUAACAUACUUGAUGCAGACUGAAUUUUGUAACAUCUAUGAAGUCCAGUUUUUUAACUGACACUGAGAACCACAUUUGCACAUUAAUGGCAUUUGCAGUGAGAAUAUGAUUUUUUUUUUCAAACCUACUAGGAAGCAGAUUUUUUUUUUUAUCUCACUCCCUUUGUGAUAGGACUGAAUGGUGUCUUCAACUUGCACCUCAAAGAAGGAGUUAACAAUAAUAGAUGAAAAGUUGAUGAUAAUAAAAAUCGGAAAACUUUCAGGGAAAUGAUGUGUUUAAUUGGAAUUUAUGGGAGCAAGGCUAGUCCACUGUUAAAAAAAUACAUUGUUUUGCUGUUGGCGUGGAUCGAAAGGGCCAAAAAUCAUCAUGUUUGCAGUGGCAAAAGAAAGUUAAAACAUAAUAUGAUAACAUAAGGCAUUUUACAAGUGAGAGUAAACCAUUCAGUCAAUCAAACUUGUUGGGUCAGCUAAUAGCUACAUUGUCCCAGUGUCUCACCCAGAAGUUUUUUAAAAGUCAUCUGUGCUUCAAUUAAAGGACACAGUAAUUUAUUCCACUGUGUUAUGAAAUUUUUUGUUUUUGCUUUGAUAUUGAGAUUACUUCCCCUUAAUUUCCACUGGUGACUUCAAGCACGUGUUUCACCAUAUAGGAAAAAAAAAUCUGCCGAAUCAUCUAAGCUAAAUUCUUGCCUUCAGAUAUUUUGCAGACCUAGACUUUUUCCACAUAUUGCCUUCUUUGAUCUAGGCUAAAGGAAAAAAGUCAUUUUAAUAGCCAAACACCUGAUUAGCCUCUUGAGUUGAUGGAGUUCUUCAUUGUUUUGAAUGUUUACAACUAUUUUUUCUGUCUUCUGGAUAUGAGGACCAGAGUUUUCUGCCCAGUAAGGAUUGCUGGCACCUGGACUGCCACUCAUGAAAAAUUGCAAGGCAUUUCAGGAGUGAUAAAACACCCCAUGUGCACAUUAAUUUGAAAAGUGGAAAGAAGCAAUGGGACUGAAAAAGAUCAAAGGUUAAAAAGGAGAGUAUUUAAUUUAAAAAGAACCUUUCUGUCUUAUUGUGCGUCUUCCCUUUAUUCUUAUCUUCAGAUUCCCCCAAUUUUACCUCCCAUUUAUAUUUAUUUCUCUCUCUCUUUUUUGGUCCCCUUUAUACCUCUGUCCAGUGAGCUUUUGCUAAACUCACCUCCCUACCCAUUUUUACCCUAGACAUAAUGUGGCCUUUAAACGUCACCUGAAGUCCACCUCUGGGUUCAGGGUGCCUGUUAGAAAGAUAAAAAGAUGCUUGUCUCUUGGGCACCUUGCAUUGGCCCAGGCACUUCCAGGUUCUAAGUUAAAUGGUCAGGUCUCCAUGACAAAUUCAGGGCUGCUGCCUCUGUCUUUAUGGUGCCAGGCUCAAGGGAGUUCAUUUUGCCUGCCGCCUGCCUGGAAUGGUUUCAUUGGUCUAGUGCCAGCCUUCUAUGGCCUCUCUCUAUCUCUCUCAUUCUCUCUUUCUGUCUCUCAUGGAGGGCCAGUGACCUUUGAUCUCUGCAGGAUCAUCUGUUCCCUGACAUCAGCAAAGAUUCACAAGUUUGUGACUAAGCUACAUUGCUGUAUACUAUAUCUAGAUGGAAUUCCACAGGAUUCAAUACAUCCACUGAUGCCCUCAAAAGUGUUACUUUCAGGGGUUAUUUAACCCUUUAUGGCACCUGCAGGCAAAGGAGCCCAGUGUAGUCCUCCAGCAUUCUCUUUGUUUUAUGUCUCUCUUAAUUACAUUGAGAAGAAAAUCUUGCAGACUUUUAAGAAGCAAUAACUAAUCCAGGAAUAAAAUACAGAUUAUUGUAUCUGAGAGCAACACUGCAUGCAGUAUCACCAUCGCAUUUGAUACCAUUGAUCACAAUAUUCUUAUAAAUCACUUUAGUCAUUUGGUGGGCCUCUCCGGCAAUGU
Polypterus senegalus (gray bichir) is the source of this 2938-nucleotide long non-coding RNA. RefSeq lists it as uncharacterized. The record is from RefSeq and is a predicted model, not a curated record. The transcript has 3 exons. NCBI's taxonomy places the organism in Eukaryota, Metazoa, Chordata, Cladistia, Polypteriformes, Polypteridae.